UGUGGAUUCAACUCUGUGUUUAACUAUCGACUUAUCAACCUUUGUCCAUCUCUUGCUUUUGGGAUAAUAUAUCUGGGUUGCAGUUGUGGAUACAUUGAUUUGGAGAGGUUAUCAGUGCCCAUUUCUUUGAAUUAACAGUGAAUUUCUGUGACAAGUUAGCAUAUAAUUUGAGGGUCUUAAAGGAAUUGGUCUGAUAAUAACUGAUGAGACACCAUGGAUAGUGAACUCAUGUUUGUAACUAAGAAGCAUUUAACAAAUUCAGAGGGGACAAAUGAUGGAGCUAUUAUUAUUCCUCGACACAAGAUUUUGAUGACUUCUCCUUCAUCAUCCUCAGAAUCUUCGAUAGAUUCUAUCUAUGUUGAAAAGGAUGAUCGUUCUGAUCCCCUUCUGCAAUCAAAACAAGCAAAUCUUGAUCCGAAAGGAGUUGUAGUUGCUCCAGAAGUUUCAGGUCACAAUCCUAGCAUGAGUAUACACGAAUCUUCAUCUGCAAUAUACGAAAAUCAAAUUCCGAUGCAAUCCGGAGGCUAUGAUCCUAAUAGGAUUCCCUCAUCCGUUUUUGCUAGUAAGCCUGCAACGCCAAUGGAAUGGAGUGUUGCUUCAAAUGAAUCGUUGUUUAGUAUUCACAUGGGAAAUAACAGCUUCUCAAGAGAUCAUGUUUUCGUGCUACACAAAUCUGGAGAAAUUCCCAAGGUCGAGGAUACCAACAACCCCACACCUAGCCUGCCUCCCACCAUCGUGGUGCAGACCCUCGAAAAGAAGAUUGAGGAUAUGAGUGAGGACUCAAAAGUGACAGAAGAAAAACCUGUUAAAGCAGUAGAACCUGAAUUGCCACCCGAUAACACAAAGGCAGUUCCAGAGGAAACUGAGAAAAAAAUCAGUCAGGAAAAGGCCUCUUCUGCUGAGGACCUCAGGAACUCAUCCAGCAGCACCCAGUCUUUUCAAUUCCCAGUGUAAGUUGCAUAAGUUUCUUGCUUUCGAUGGGCCAAUGUUUGCCUGUUAUAUAUGGAUUAGGUACCUGAGGCUAAUUGAUUUUGUUUCAUUUCAGAUUCGAAGCACAUGCGAAAGGAAGUGACUCUGUGAAAGUGGUGAAGGAGAAGCAGCCUUCAAAGAAACAGACAAAACAAGAGCCACAUCCACAAACGCCUGGAACACCACCAAAGCCUCAUGGGAGCAGUUGGUUUUCUUGCUUUUCUUGUUGCUCACGCGGUUGUUGAGAGAGCAUUAAUUCUGGAAGAUUACUUGAACAUUUCAAUUGAUCACUGUACAUAUACAUGAUCCAUCAUUUUGUUGAAAUGCUUGCCUUUUUUCUGGGUUGAAUCAGAAUAUGUCAAUGGACAAUGGUUCUUUUCUAAUUGUAGAAAUCGAAACUUUAAAGAUAUG
This 1380-nucleotide unclassified non-coding RNA is filed under the name Hevea brasiliensis (rubber tree). The record is from RNAcentral. Lineage: Eukaryota; Viridiplantae; Streptophyta; Magnoliopsida; Malpighiales; Euphorbiaceae.